CUUGUUUUUGUUUUUAUUUGUUUUUGUGCAUGGUUUUGACUUUUGGCAAAUUUGGCGAUUCGGAUUCACCGGACCAGUUGAGCAGUCGCGAGAAGGACCGGGGUUGCCGGAUGAUUGCGGACUCGCAUCGAAUCGUGACCUGUCCUGCAUCGUUAAAGCAAAACGAAGGCGGAUUCGGGCGACGGAAAUCCACGAUUCGAUAAGCCGGUGGAUUCGUUCAGCGUACAAGGCGAUGCCGAACACAGCCAGAGGCCGGCGAAGUCCAUGGGGAGCACCUGAAACCGUGAAGGAAGUUGUACGAGCCCUCCAGUUAAGCGUUAUCCCCAUGUACAUGCAGGUCACUGUGAUGGAAAACACCGUGCCCCAUCCGACGCAGACCUUCGACGAGGAUAACUUUCAUGAGUUUGUAGUUUGAGAGAUCAAUAAGCAGGGCUUUUCCUCGCCGACCACCUUCCAAGUCCAGGGAUGACCGAUUGAGCUGUCCGGCCGUGACAGCGGGGAACCGCUGGUUCGCGAUUUGGAGGGUGGAGAAGGUGAUUACUACGCCGGGAUGUUUGAUCGAUUUGCUGGAGCGAGGCAUCCUGAGACAACCUGUCCCGUUGCACGUUUCUGUUGCUCGACGAGGCGGAUCGGAACCGAGCAGAUCUCG
Long non-coding RNA from Culex pipiens pallens (northern house mosquito), 649 nucleotides. RefSeq lists it as uncharacterized. The transcript is spliced from 3 exons. Lineage: Eukaryota; Metazoa; Arthropoda; Insecta; Diptera; Culicidae. The record is from RefSeq and is a predicted model, not a curated record.